GAUGAACGCUGGCGGCGUGCCUAAUACAUGCAAGUCGAGCGAACAGACGAGGAGCUUGCUCCUCUGAUGUUAGCGGCGGACGGGUGAGUAACGCGUGGAUAACCUACCUAUAAGACUGGGAUAACUUCGGGAAACCGGAGCUAAUACCGGAUAACAUGUUGAACCGCAUGGUUCAACAGUGAAAGACGGUCUUGCUGUCACUUAUAGAUGGAUCCGCGCCGCAUUAGCUAGUUGGUAAGGUAACGGCUUACCAAGGCAACGAUGCGUAGCCGACCUGAGAGGGUGAUCGGCCACACUGGAACUGAGACACGGUCCAGACUCCUACGGGAGGCAGCAGUAGGGAAUCUUCCGCAAUGGGCGAAAGCCUGACGGAGCAACGCCGCGUGAGUGAAGAAGGUCUUCGGAUCGUAAAACUCUGUUAUUAGGGAAGAACAAAUGUGUAAGUAACUAUGCACGUCUUGACGGUACCUAAUCAGAAAGCCACGGCUAACUACGUG
Molecule: ribosomal RNA, 497 nt
Filed under: uncultured bacterium
Lineage: Bacteria
Description: partial 16S ribosomal RNA
Rfam family: Bacterial small subunit ribosomal RNA
Source: RNAcentral